This 590-nucleotide ribosomal RNA is filed under the name Neohelicosporium griseum. RNAcentral describes it as "eukaryotic LSU rRNA". It matches the Rfam family "Eukaryotic large subunit ribosomal RNA", at positions 21 to 632 of the family's 3401-position model. Lineage: Eukaryota; Fungi; Ascomycota; Dothideomycetes; Tubeufiales; Tubeufiaceae. The record is from RNAcentral.
AUACCCGCUGAACUUAAGCAUAUCAAUAAGCGGAGGAAAAGAAACCAACAGGGAUUGCCUUAGUAACGGCGAGUGAAGCGGCAAUAGCUCAAAUUUGAAAUCUGGCUUCGGCCCGAGUUGUAAUUUGUAGAGGAUGCUUCGGCUUACGCACCGGUCUAAGUUCCUUGGAACAGGACGUCACAGAGGGUGAGAAUCCCGUUUGUGGCCGGUGCUUCCGCCAUGUGAAGCUCCUUCGACGAGUCGAGUUGUUUGGGAAUGCAGCUCUAAAUGGGAGGUAAAUUUCUUCUAAAGCUAAAUACCGGCCAGAGACCGAUAGCGCACAAGUAGAGUGAUCGAAAGAUGAAAAGCACUUUGGAAAGAGAGUUAAAAAGUACGUGAAAUUGUUGAAAGGGAAGCGCUUGCGACCAGACUUGCCCGCGGAUGCUCAACCGGUCCUUCGGCCGGUGCACUCUUCCGCGGUCAGGCCAGCAUCAGUUCGGGCGGUCGGAUAAAGGCCUUGGGAAUGUGGCUCUCUUCGGGGAGUGUUAUAGCCCUUGGUGUAAUACGGCCUGCCUGGACUGAGGCCCGCGCUUCUGCUAGGAUGCUGGCGU